This 73-nucleotide transfer RNA is filed under the name Fimbriimonas ginsengisoli Gsoil 348. It matches the Rfam family "tRNA". From Rfam's summary of the family: Transfer RNA (tRNA) molecules are approximately 80 nucleotides in length. Their secondary structure includes four short double-helical elements and three loops (D, anti-codon, and T loops). The record is from Rfam by way of RNAcentral. Lineage: Bacteria; Bacillati; Armatimonadota; Fimbriimonadia; Fimbriimonadales; Fimbriimonadaceae.
GGGGAAUUAGCUCAGUUGGGAGAGCACCUCCAUGGCAUGGAGGGGGUCAGGGGUUCGAGUCCCCUAUUCUCCA